This 63-nucleotide transfer RNA is filed under the name Rieppeleon brevicaudatus (bearded pygmy chameleon). RNAcentral's name for it is "tRNA-His". Lineage: Eukaryota; Metazoa; Chordata; Lepidosauria; Squamata; Chamaeleonidae. The record is from RNAcentral.
GCUGCAGUAGUUUACCUAAAACAUUAGCCCGUGAAGCUAAAAAUGAAAACUUUUCCCGCAGCC